AAGGGUGACUGCGUACCUUUUGUAUAAUGGGUCAGCGACUUAUAUUUUGUAGCGAGGUUAACCGAAUAGGGGAGCCGAAGGGAAACCGAGUCUUAACUGGGCGUCUAGUUGCAAGGUAUAGACCCGAAACCCGGUGAUCUAGCCAUGGGCAGGUUGAAGGUUGGGUAACACUAACUGGAGGACCGAACCGACUAAUGUUGAAAAAUUAGCGGAUGACUUGUGGCUGGGGGUGAAAGGCCAAUCAAACCGGGAGAUAGCUGGUUCUCCCCGAAAUCUAUUUAGGUAGAGCCUUGAGCGGACACCUUCGGGGGUAGAGCACUGUUUCGGCUAGGGGUCCAUCCCGGAUUACCAACCCGAUGCAAACUACGAAUACCGAAGAGUGAUACUCAGGAGACACACGGCGGGUGCUAACGUCCGUCGUGGAGAGGGAAACAACCCAGACCGCCAGCUAAGGUCCCAAAGUCUAUAUUAAGUGGGAAACGAAGUGGGAAGGCUUAGACAGCUAGGAUGUUGGCUUAGAAGCAGCCAUCAUUUAAAGAAAGCGUAAUAGCUCACUAGUCGAGUCGGCCUGCGCGGAAGAUGUAACGGGGCUCAAAUAUAGCACCGAAGCUGCGGCAUCAGACGAAAGUCUGUUGGGUAGGGGAGCGUUGUGUAAGCGGAUGAAGGUGUGUUGAGAAGCAUGCUGGACGUAUCACAAGUGCGAAUGCUGACAUAAGUAACGAUAAAACGGGUGAAAAACCCGUUCGCCGGAAGACCAAGGGUUCCUGUCCAACGUUAAUCGGGGCAGGGUGAGUCGGCCCCUAAGGCGAGGCUGAAAAGCGUAGUCGAUGGGAAACGGGUUAAUAUUCCCGUACUUGGUAAAGCUGCGAUGUGGGGACGGAGCAGGUUAGGUUAGCGUGCUGUUGGAUAUGCACGUUUAAGUUGGUAGGUGGGGAGUUUAGGCAAAUCCGGACUUCCUUAACACUGAGAGAUGAUGACGAGGCUCUACGGAGCUGAAGUAACCGAUACCACACUUCCAGGAAAAGCCACUAAGCGAAAGGCUUUACUAAACCGUACUGAAAACCGACACAGGUGGUCAGGUAGAGAAUACUCAGGCGCUUGAGAGAACUCGGGUGAAGGAACUAGGCAAAAUAGCACCGUAACUUCGGGAGAAGGUGCGCCGGCGUAGAUUGUAGUCCCUCGCGGGCGAAGGUUGAACCGGUCGAAGAUACCAGCUGGCUGCAACUGUUUAUUAAAAACACAGCACUCUGCAAACACGAAAGUGGACGUAUAGGGUGUGAUGCCUGCCCGGUGCUGGAAGGUUAAUUGAUGGUGUAAUCGAAAGAGAAGCUCCUGAUCGAAGCCCCAGUAAACGGCGGCCGUAACUAUAACGGUCCUAAGGUAGCGAAAUUCCUUGUCGGGUAAGUUCCGACCUGCACGAAUGGCAUAAUGAUGGCCAGGCUGUCUCCACCCGAGACUCAGUGAAAUUGAAAUCGCCGUGAAGAUGCGGUGUACCCGCGGCUAGACGGAAAGACCCCGUGAACCUUUACUAUAGCUUGACACUGAACAUUGAAUUUUGAUGUGUAGGAUAGGUGGGAGACUAUGAAGAUGAUACGCCAGUAUUGUUGGAGUCGUCCUUGAAAUACCACCCUUUAACGUUUGAUGUUCUAACGAAGAUUACGAAACGUGGUCUCGGACAGUGUCUGGUGGGUAGUUUGACUGGGGCGGUCUCCUCCCAAAGAGUAACGGAGGAGCACGAAGGUUUGCUAAUCACGGUCGGACAUCGUGAGGUUAGUGCAAUGGUAUAAGCAAGCUUAACUGCGAGACAGACAAGUCGAGCAGGUACGAAAGUAGGUCAUAGUGAUCCGGUGGUUCUGCAUGGAAGGGCCAUCGCUCAACGGAUAAAAGGUACUCCGGGGAUAACAGGCUGAUACCGCCCAAGAGUUCAUAUCGACGGCGGUGUUUGGCACCUCGAUGUCGGCUCAUCACAUCCUGGGGCUGAAGUAGGUCCCAAGGGUAUGGCUGUUCGCCAUUUAAAGUGGUACGCGAGCUGGGUUUAGAACGUCGUGAGACAGUUCGGUCCCUAUCUGCCGUGGGCGUUGGAGAAUUGAUUGGGGCUGCUCCUAGUACGAGAGGACCGGAGUGGACGCACCACUGGUGUUCCGGUUGUGUCGCCAGACGCAUUGCCGGGUAGCUAAGUGCGGAAGAGAUAAGUGCUGAAAGCAUCUAAGCACGAAACUUGCCAAGAGAUGAGUUCUCCCAGAUUAUAAAUCUGUAAGGGUUGUUUAAGACUAAGACGUAGAUAGGUGCGGUGUGUAAGUGUAGUGAUACAUUGAGCUAACGCAUACUAAUUGCCCGAGAGGCUUAACU
This 2349-nucleotide ribosomal RNA is filed under the name Haemophilus influenzae. RNAcentral's name for it is "bacterial LSU rRNA". It matches the Rfam family "Bacterial large subunit ribosomal RNA", at positions 589 to 2925 of the family's 2925-position model. The record is from RNAcentral. Lineage: Bacteria; Pseudomonadati; Pseudomonadota; Gammaproteobacteria; Pasteurellales; Pasteurellaceae.